ACUGGCUUAGUAUACAAUUUAGUACAUAAGAUUGUAAAUCUUGGGGCAACAUUUGUUUAGUCAGGA
Molecule: transfer RNA, 66 nt
Filed under: Plagiorchis multiglandularis
Lineage: Eukaryota; Metazoa; Platyhelminthes; Trematoda; Plagiorchiida; Plagiorchiidae
Description: tRNA-Tyr
Source: RNAcentral